ACAGCCAUACCACAUUGAAAACACCGGUUCUCGUCCGAUCACCGAAGUUAAGCAAUGUCAGGCCUGGCCAGUACUUGGGAGGAUGACCACCUGGGAACACCGGGUGCUGUAGGCU
This 115-nucleotide ribosomal RNA is filed under the name Cordylochernes scorpioides. The record is from RNAcentral. Lineage: Eukaryota; Metazoa; Arthropoda; Arachnida; Pseudoscorpiones; Chernetidae.